RNAcentral lists this ribosomal RNA (265 nucleotides) under uncultured bacterium. Its description in RNAcentral is "partial 16S ribosomal RNA". It matches the Rfam family "Bacterial small subunit ribosomal RNA", at positions 355 to 611 of the family's 1533-position model. The record is from RNAcentral.
UGGGGAAUUUUGCGCAAUGGGGGAAACCCUGACGCAGCAACGCCGCGUGAGUGAUGAAGGCCUUCGGGUCGUAAAGCUCUGUCAGAGGAGAAGAAAUGCAGGGGUGCUAAUAUCAUCUUUGCUUGACGGUACCCUCAAAGGAAGCACCGGCUAACUCCGUGCCAGCAGCCGCGGUAAUACGGAGGGUGCGAGCGUUGUUCGGAAUUAUUGGGCGUAAAGCGCGUGUAGGCGGUUUGAUAAGUCUGAUGUGAAAGCCCCGGGCUCA